RNAcentral lists this ribosomal RNA (392 nucleotides) under uncultured bacterium. RNAcentral's name for it is "bacterial SSU rRNA". It matches the Rfam family "Bacterial small subunit ribosomal RNA", at positions 28 to 414 of the family's 1533-position model. The record is from RNAcentral.
GACGAACGCUGGCGGCGUGCUUAACACAUGCAAGUCGAGCGGUAAGGCCCUUCGGGGUACACGAGCGGCGAACGGGUGAGUAACACGUGGGUGACCUGCCCUCCACUUCGGGAUAAGCCCGGGAAACUGGGUCUAAUACCGGUUAGGACCUCCUCAUGCAUGUGGGGUGGUGGAAAGCUUGUGUCUUUGAUGCUUGCGGUGGGGGAUGGGCCCGCGGUCUAUCAGCUUGUUGGUGGGGUGAUGGCCUACCAAGGCGACGACGGAUAGCCGGCCUGAGAGGGUGAUCGGCCACACUGGGACUGAGACACGGCCAGACUCCUACGGGAGGCAGCAGUGGGGAAUCUUGCGCAAUGGGCGAAGCCUGACGCAGCAACGCCGCGUGGGGAUGACGG